RNAcentral lists this ribosomal RNA (2891 nucleotides) under Acinetobacter baumannii 25766_3. RNAcentral describes it as "bacterial LSU rRNA". It matches the Rfam family "Bacterial large subunit ribosomal RNA". The record is from RNAcentral. Lineage: Bacteria; Pseudomonadati; Pseudomonadota; Gammaproteobacteria; Moraxellales; Moraxellaceae.
UCAAGUAAUUAAGUGCAUGUGGUGGAUGCCUUGGCAGUCAGAGGCGAUGAAAGACGUGAUAGCCUGCGAAAAGCUCCGGGGAGGCGGCAAAUAUCCUUUGAUCCGGAGAUGUCUGAAUGGGGGAACCCACCUACUUUAAGGUAGGUAUUGCAACAUGAAUACAUAGUGUUGCAAGGCGAACGAGGGGAAGUGAAACAUCUCAGUACCCUUAGGAAAAGAAAUCAAUUGAGAUUCCCUCAGUAGCGGCGAGCGAACGGGGAUCAGCCCAUUAAGUUAUGUGUGUUUUAGUGGAACGCUCUGGGAAGUGCGAACGUAGAGGGUGAUAUUCCCGUACACGAAAGGGCACACAUAAUGAUGACGAGUAGGGCGAGGCACGUGAAACCUUGUCUGAAUAUGGGGGGACCAUCCUCCAAGGCUAAAUACUCCUGACUGACCGAUAGUGAACCAGUACCGUGAGGGAAAGGCGAAAAGAACCCCUGUGAGGGGAGUGAAAUAGAUCCUGAAACCGCAUGCAUACAAGCAGUGGGAGCACCUUCGUGGUGUGACUGCGUACCUUUUGUAUAAUGGGUCAGCGACUUAUAUUCAGUAGCGAGGUUAACCGUAUAGGGGAGCCGUAGAGAAAUCGAGUCUUAAUAGGGCGUUUAGUUGCUGGGUAUAGACCCGAAACCAGGCGAUCUAUCCAUGAGCAGGUUGAAGGUUGGGUAACACUAACUGGAGGACCGAACCCACUGUCGUUGAAAAGCCAGGGGAUGACUUGUGGAUAGGGGUGAAAGGCUAAUCAAGCCUGGUGAUAGCUGGUUCUCCCCGAAAGCUAUUUAGGUAGCGCCUCGGACGAAUACCAUAGGGGGUAGAGCACUGUUUCGGCUAGGGGGUCAUCCCGACUUACCAAACCGAUGCAAACUCCGAAUACCUAUGAGUACUAUCCGGGAGACAGACUGCGGGUGCUAACGUCCGUAGUCAAGAGGAAAACAAUCCAGACCGCCAGCUAAGGCCCCAAAAUCAUAGUUAAGUGGGAAACGAUGUGGGAAGGCAUAGACAGCUAGGAGGUUGGCUUAGAAGCAGCCACCCUUUAAAGAAAGCGUAAUAGCUCACUAGUCGAGUCGGCCUGCGCGGAAGAUGUAACGGGGCUAAAACUAUGUGCCGAAGCUGCGGAUGUAUACUUUGUAUACGUGGUAGGGGAGCGUUCUGUAAGCCGAUGAAGGUGUGUUGAGAAGCAUGCUGGAGGUAUCAGAAGUGCGAAUGCUGACGUGAGUAACGACAAAACGGGUGAAAAACCCGUUCGCCGAAAGACCAAGGGUUCCAGUCCAACGUUAAUCGGGGCUGGGUGAGUCGACCCCUAAGGCGAGGCCGAAAGGCGUAGUCGAUGGGAAAAUGGUUAAUAUUCCAUUACUUCUGUGUAAUGCGAUGAGAGGACGGAGAAGGCUAAAUCAGCCUGGCGUUGGUUGUCCAGGUGAAAGGAUGUAGGCAUGUAUCUUAGGCAAAUCCGGGGUACUCUAUGCUGAGAUCUGAUAGCAAGCUGUACUUGUACAGCGAAGUGGUUGAUGCCAUGCUUCCAGGAAAAGUCUCUAAGCUUCAGUUACACAGGAAUCGUACCCGAAACCGACACAGGUGGUCAGGUCGAGUAGACCAAGGCGCUUGAGAGAACUCUGCUGAAGGAACUAGGCAAAAUGGUACCGUAACUUCGGGAGAAGGUACGCUGUUGUUGGUGAUGGAACUCGCUUCCUGAGCUGACGACAGCCGCAGAAACCAGGCCGCUGCAACUGUUUAUUAAAAACAUAGCACUCUGCAAACACGAAAGUGGACGUAUAGGGUGUGAUGCCUGCCCGGUGCUGGAAGGUUAAUUGAUGGGGUUAGCGUAAGCGAAGCUCUUGAUCGAAGCCCCAGUAAACGGCGGCCGUAACUAUAACGGUCCUAAGGUAGCGAAAUUCCUUGUCGGGUAAGUUCCGACCUGCACGAAUGGCAUAAUGAUGGCGGCGCUGUCUCCAGCAGAGGCUCAGUGAAAUCGAAAUCGCUGUGAAGAUGCAGUGUACCCGCGGCUAGACGGAAAGACCCCGUGAACCUUUACUGCAGCUUGACACUGAACUUUGACCUUACUUGUGUAGGAUAGGUGGGAGGCUUUGAAGCUGGAACGCUAGUUCCAGUGGAGCCGUCCUUGAAAUACCACCCUGGUAAUGUUGAGGUUCUAACUCUGUCCCGUGAUCCGGGACGAGGACCGUGUCUGGUGGGUAGUUUGACUGGGGCGGUCUCCUCCUAAAGAGUAACGGAGGAGUACGAAGGUGCGCUCAGCGUGGUCGGAAAUCACGCGUAGAGUAUAAAGGCAAAAGCGCGCUUAACUGCGAGACCCACAAGUCGAGCAGGUACGAAAGUAGGUCUUAGUGAUCCGGUGGUUCUGUAUGGAAGGGCCAUCGCUCAACGGAUAAAAGGUACUCUGGGGAUAACAGGCUGAUACCGCCCAAGAGUUCAUAUCGACGGCGGGGUUUGGCACCUCGAUGUCGGCUCAUCUCAUCCUGGGGCUGAAGCAGGUCCCAAGGGUAUGGCUGUUCGCCAUUUAAAGAGGUACGCGAGCUGGGUUUAGAACGUCGUGAGACAGUUCGGUCCCUAUCUACCGUGGGCGCUGGAAAUUUGAGAGGAUCUGCUCCUAGUACGAGAGGACCAGAGUGGACGAACCUCUGGUGUACCGGUUGUGACGCCAGUCGCAUCGCCGGGUAGCUAUGUUCGGAAGGGAUAACCGCUGAAAGCAUCUAAGCGGGAAGCCUACCUCAAGAUAAGAUUUCCCUAGGACUUUAUGUCCUCUAAAGAGCCGUUCGAGACUAGGACGUUGAUAGGUUGGAUGUGGAAGCAUAGUGAUAUGUGAAGCUGACCAAUACUAAUUGCUCGUGAGGCUUGACUAU